CGCAAUCCGUUAUUCUGCUGCGUUUUCCAAGAAUCGCCGCGGAGCGUGCUUCAUCCCCGUGAAAAUUCUGAGCAGCAAGAUGAAUAAUACCAGAACGGAGAGAUUAAGAAAAAGAAUUUCGGUAGGACUUUUCUGGGCGCAUUUAUUCAAAGAUUGACCGAUUAUGACAUUGGUAAUGAAGGAGUGAUAAUGAGGUUAAUGGUCCAAAAACUUGGAUGUUCUUUUCGUUGAUCGCCAGAUGAAGAGA
Long non-coding RNA from Dinoponera quadriceps, 247 nucleotides. RefSeq lists it as uncharacterized. The transcript has 3 exons. The record is from RefSeq and is a predicted model, not a curated record. Lineage: Eukaryota; Metazoa; Arthropoda; Insecta; Hymenoptera; Formicidae.